RNAcentral lists this ribosomal RNA (332 nucleotides) under uncultured eukaryote. RNAcentral's name for it is "partial 18S ribosomal RNA". It matches the Rfam family "Eukaryotic small subunit ribosomal RNA", at positions 1470 to 1796 of the family's 1831-position model. The record is from RNAcentral.
CCCUUAGAUGUUCUGGGCUGCACACGUGCUACACUGGCAGGUUCAGCGAGCUUCAUGCCCUGAUCUGAAAGGAAUGGGAAAUCUUUUCAAAACCUGCCGUGCUUGGGAUAGAUGUUUGCAAUUAUUCAUCUUCAACGAGGAUUGCCUUGUAAGCGCACGUCAUCAGCGUGCAUUGAAUACGACCCUGUAUUCUGUACACACCGCCCGUCGCUCCUACCGAUUGAAGUUUUCGGUGAGUUGACAGGAUGAUUUUUUUGAAACUGGUUCGCCAGUGGAUUUUAGAUCCAAAUGCCAACGAAUCGAUGGCUUUAGAGGAAGGAGAAGUCGUAACA